This 427-nucleotide ribosomal RNA is filed under the name uncultured bacterium. RNAcentral's name for it is "bacterial SSU rRNA". It matches the Rfam family "Bacterial small subunit ribosomal RNA", at positions 355 to 774 of the family's 1533-position model. The record is from RNAcentral.
UAGGGAAUAUUGGACAAUGGGGGCAACCCUGAUCCAGCCAUGCCGCGUGAGUGAAGAAGGCCCUCGGGUUGUAAAGCUCUUUUGUCCGGAAAGAAAAGCUUCGGGUUAAUACCCCGGGGUUCUGACGGUACCGGAAGAAUAAGCACCGGCUAACUUCGUGCCAGCAGCCGCGGUAAUACGAAGGGUGCAAGCGUUACUCGGAAUUACUGGGCGUAAAGCGUGCGUAGGUGGUUGUAUAAGUCUGAUGUGAAAGCCCUGGGAUCAACCUGGGAAUGGCAUUGGAAACUGGGCAGCUAGAGUGCGGUAGAGGGUAGUGGAAUUCCAGGUGUAGCAGUGAAAUGCGUAGAGAUCGGGAGGAACAUCUGUGGCGAAGGCGACUGCCUGGACCAGCACUGACACUGAGGCACGAAAGCGUGGGGAGCAAACA